Molecule: long non-coding RNA, 2491 nt
Filed under: Glycine max (soybean)
Lineage: Eukaryota; Viridiplantae; Streptophyta; Magnoliopsida; Fabales; Fabaceae
Description: long non-coding RNA (GMAX_LNC002951)
Source: RNAcentral
AUUCUUUUCCAUUCUUUUUUCCCCCUUUCAUUCUAUACGUUCUUGAGUAAUUUGUUUACAGAUCUAACCCAGUCUAAAAAGGGGUGGGUCCUAAAUCCCUUCUAUACUAUUUAGAGGUCCCACAACUCCAUCAACUGAUGAGAGGUUAACCAUUUAAUGACAGAACAGGAUCAGAUGUUGAUGAUCUCGAGCAUAACUUGGUGUUGGCCAAAAAUACAAUGAAAUCAUAAGGUGAGAAGCAUAGAAGGGGAUGUAUACUACCAAUGUGGAGAUUUAGUUAGGCAGGUUAAUGAAAAGCUAGGUCCUAGGUUCUAUGUAAUUGAAGUUGCCUGCUAGCAGCUGUCUACUCCUGUUGAUAUUCAAGCAUUGCUUACCUUUCUAUCUGAUGAGUGAUGAAUGGGAGCUUGAGAUACAGCCUGACGCAGCAAAGGUGCUGGAUUACAGAAUCAAUACAGAGGAUCUCACCAAGGUCCUAAUUAAAUGACAGGACCUUCCUGACUUUGAAAAUUCUUGGGAACAUCUACACAAGACUGCAAGAAUAGUUUCCUACAUUUUACCUUGAAGACAAGUUGAAGGCUUCUGGGGAAAGUAUUGUCAGGUGACCACCUAUCACUAUGGUUUAUAUUAGGAUUAGGAAAGAAUGCAGAGAGGCAAUCAAGGAGAAUCAAAUGCUUAAUGUAACAGAGUGCAUGAGAACAAGCAAGGGGAAUUGAGUGAUUUGUGUAACUGAUAGGACCUUUGCUCCUAUUGCUAUUGGAUUCUAUACUAAAAGGAAGGGGGUUCUAGGAGGGUGAGGAGGAGCUGAGUUGACAUGUUAUAGCAAGAUAUAGGGGCAAAGUUAGCACGAUAGUGUGGAAUUUUGGUUAGACUUUCCACAGGGAUUUUUUUAUUGAUGAGCAUUAGCUUUGGUAGAAUGUGUCAAGGAGAUUCAUCUCGGGUUGUUACUUGUUUCCAUUUUCUGCUUGUAAAAGCUGCAGUCCAAGUCUUUUUAAUUAAAUAACACUCAUAUAGUAACACACUGGUUUCUUACCUUGGUGUUCCACUAAAUGGUGCAGUUCACUCGUCGCUACUCACUAGGAUGCCAUCUGGAAUAGAACCUAAGUUUGAUGAUGAGUCUGAAAUGAUCAUAGACAACGGUUGCUACAGAUAAGUCACAAAAUGAAGAACAAUCCAAAGUCAUUGAAGAGAUUGCAGAGGAAAAGACAAUCACUGAGGUGAAUAGUGAUUAAGAGAUCUUAGAUGUGGAGAGUGAUGGUGCAGAAAGAGAGUGUGAUCAAAUUUAAGUGGUUAUUAUGUUCCAUAAAUUUUUAGAAAAUAAAUUGGCUGGAUAUUGAUGUUCGGAAAUUGAGGUAACUUGAUACUCCCAGUGUUUCGUAUUUUCUAAGACCUAGGAUCAGCCAAACUCCAAUCAUUAUAAGGCUAGCAUGUGUUUUGUCUAAAUAAUUUCGUACAAAAAUUGGUGAUUGUGGGUGUCAGCCAUAGUUAUCAAUAUGGUGAGAGCAAGCAUCCCCACUCCUGAAGGUGGUGUCACGCUCACGCCUUGCUGUCAGUGGUUGUGCUACCUUUCACGGCAAUAACUGUGUGAAAUUGCACCAAUACACCACUUUUUCUGCCUUUCACGGCCAUAACUGUGUGAAAGGAGACACCACAAAAGUGGAAUCAUUUUGGCCCUUGGGAGGGGGGGGGGGGGAGAGUAUGAAGGGUAAGAAUUGCUUUAGACUUUAGAUUUUAAUCCACAAUAUUCAACCUCAACCCACUCAUUCAACAAUCACCCACACCUCAGCCUCCGAUCCUAAAUCCCAACCAUGCAACCCUCAUGAUUUUAGUCUUACAAUUCUCAGCCACAAGACAAUUAAUUCCCACCAUCUGGUACAUAGGAUAACCCCCUUAACUGACCAUAGCAAACCUCUUAACCAACCCCAACUAAGUUAUGUUUACAAUUGGCUUACUCCUCUUCCUAACAUUGACCUGUUUAACUAUAGGUCUGCUAUCAGUCAGCCACAUGGUGGGAAUCUUACUACUUCAAGACAUAAACCAUAAAAUUCUGAAAACGAGAAUUAAGUAUCAUUUGGUUGUAAUUUCAGACAAUGCAAGGUAGAGUAUUGAAUUUAAAACAAGCUCAAAAUAAAGUCCAAUCAUUGGUUUAACUAUAGGUCUGCUAUCAGUCAGCCACACGGUGGGAAUCUUAAUACUUCACGACAAAAACCAUAAAUAAAAUUCUGAAAACAAGAAUUAAGUAUCAUUCGGUCAUAAUUUCAGACAAUGCAAGGCAGAGUAUUGAAUUUAAAACAAGCUCAGAAGAUUUGAUCUCACAAGGGGUGUAUUUCAGACAAUAAAGUCCAAUCAUUGGUUGGAAAAUGAAUAAUUAAGAUUGUAAUAACUUCAUACUAUGUUAUACAUGUGCAUGUUUCUUAUCACAAUCCCUCGCUCUGAAGCAUUCAAAUCCCAAAAUAUUACCACUUGAUGUAACUGGAAACAAGAAAGCACGUAC